This 1401-nucleotide long non-coding RNA is filed under the name Mus pahari (shrew mouse). RNAcentral describes it as "lncRNA (MGP_PahariEiJ_G0006500.1)". The record is from RNAcentral. Lineage: Eukaryota; Metazoa; Chordata; Mammalia; Rodentia; Muridae.
GUCCCCCACUGGUCUUCUGAGCAGACUUGACGCAGCUUCAUCUCAUUCCCGAGGUAUCCUGAGCCCCUCAGUGCCAUACUUCUGCGUGAGUGCUGUGAACUGGAGCAAAUGGGUUGAAAAUGGCCAGAGGUUGCUCUUGGUCUCUUUAGAUCUUUUAUGACAAAGAAAAAAAUUGAAUUUCUGACCAGUUAAAAUCCAUUUGAGCCAGUUUAAGCUAAUUAUGCAGAACUGGAGCCUGAGGUCGGUAAAUCCAGGAAGAUGGCUGAAUACUAUGCUGACUCAAGUACAGACAAGGAGCCAGAUGAAAAAACCGAGGCUCCAAGAGCUUCUGUGACUUGUCCAAGACCAUACAGCUAGUUCACAGUGAGGCACAGUAUCAGUUGUAGACAUACUUCAGGGAAUUUGGAUACUAUUUUGUGGCCUGGCAAGAUCAGCACCCUUACUAUCUUAGUCCCUGCCAGUCAUCAACCUCUGGUUUCCCUGUUAUCCUGCUGCUCCCUAGAAAGCAGCUAUUAAGUGGCCGAAGAACCAGCACCUUCACGGAGUAGCAAAGAGUAAAGUCCAUUUGAGGACAGAGUGAGAAGACGAUGGUUAUCCACAAGCCAGAAAAAGAAGCCUCACCAGAAACCAAUCCUGAUACGCUGAGUUUGGGUUUUCAGCCCCUACAACUGUGAGACAACGAAUAUCUUCUUUACAGCACACAGUCUAUAUCUUGUUGUGGUAGACCAAGGAGACUAAUCUAUUACUUAAUAUUGGGAACAUUACUUAGAAGCAAAUGAUCUUCAAAAAUGGUAAAGUUAUUUGUGUUUGCUAUUUUCAUUCUUCCUUUCCUCGGUUGAGCCAUUUAAAACAAUGAUACUGGCACUUAUUUCUCUUUAACUUUCAGUAUUUGAUUUCCAACAGUAUGGCUAAGGACUGACAAACACUGUCUUGAUAAUACACUACAGAGCACUAGAGACAGUCCAAGAUUUCCACCCAAAGAGUGUAUUCUAAGUUUAGGUGGUGGUAAUGGAGCACUCUGACCUGUGAAGCAUCAUUGUUUGAAGGCUUUAUUUGUGAUCCUCUUUAGAUCUCAGUUUGGAACUGGGUUACAGACUAGAUCAUAUCUCCUCAUUCUCUCCAUUUGAUAUUUCUUCCCUCAUUAAUUCCAAAGUAUGCAAGCUAUAUGCUUUCUAGUGUUUUCCCCCUUCACAGCCAUUGUCUAGGCACCAAAAACAGAGAUGGAAAGAGACAGGUUUAAUCCAAAGCACCAGUUUCCAUUACCUUAAGCUUCCUCAAUGAUUUUUCUGAUGGGAUGAAAUUUCUUACACUUGGUCUCAGGCCCAAGGUAUAUGCAAUACGUCAAUGAAAUUGCUUGCGACACAUUGAAGUGAUUGCCUGGGAAUUAUGAGUUCCUUAACU